UGGGGAAUAUUGCACAAUGGGCGCAAGCCUGAUGCAGCCAUGCCGCGUGUAUGAAGAAGGCCUUCGGGUUGUAAAGUACUUUCAGCGGGGAGGAAGGUGUUGAGGCUAAUAACCUCAGCAAUUGACGUUACCCGCAGAAGAAGCACCGGCUAACUCCGUGCCAGCAGCCGCGGUAAUACGGAGGGUGCAAGCGUUAAUCGGAAUUACUGGGCGUAAAGCGCACGCAGGCGGUCUGUCAAGUCGGAUGUGAAAUCCCCGGGCUCAACCUGGGAACUGCAUUCGAAACUGGCAGGCUAGAGUCUUGUAGAGGGGGGUAGAAUUCCAGGUGUAGCGGUGAAAUGCGUAGAGAUCUGGAGGAAUACCGGUGGCGAAGGCGGCCCCCUGGACAAAGACUGACACUGAGGUGCGAAAGCGUGGGGAGCAAACA
This 427-nucleotide ribosomal RNA is filed under the name uncultured bacterium. RNAcentral describes it as "partial 16S ribosomal RNA". It matches the Rfam family "Bacterial small subunit ribosomal RNA", at positions 355 to 774 of the family's 1533-position model. The record is from RNAcentral.